GCCGCAGUUUCGGCAUUCGUCCCCGGUGAAAAUCGGGGGAGGAAAGUCCGGACAGCACAGGGCACCGCGCCACCUAACAGAUGGAUUCCGAACUCGUUUCGGGAGAGAUAGUGCCACAGAAAAUAACCGUCACGGUUUCGAUCGGGACAAGGGUGAAAACGUAAGGUAAGAGCUUACGAAUGGUUGCAGCAAUGCAAUCAUUGGGUAAACCUCGCGGGCUGCAAGGUCAAAUACACUUCGGGGAAAAGCUGCAAAGCUUUCCGUACGGCGGCUCGCUGUACCAACCUGUUCAUCGGGUUCACCGGAGGUGGGUAGACCGCUACAUCUCAGCAGCGAUGCGGGGAGCAGAUAAAUGAAUGCCUGAUCUUUCGACUUGUCGGGGGAAAAACAGAAUCCGGCUUAUGAAACUGCGGCCAUA
Molecule: RNase P RNA, 418 nt
Filed under: Chitinophagales bacterium
Lineage: Bacteria; Pseudomonadati; Bacteroidota; Chitinophagia; Chitinophagales
Description: RNase P RNA component class A
Rfam family: Bacterial RNase P class A
About the family: Ribonuclease P (RNase P) is a ubiquitous endoribonuclease, found in archaea, bacteria and eukarya as well as chloroplasts and mitochondria.
Source: RNAcentral